AAUCGAACCCGGAGAUAGCUGGUUCUCCCCGAAAUAGCUUUAGGGCUAGCGUCGAGAGAAGAGUUGCGUGAAGGUAGAGCACUGAAUAUGUGAUGGCCCCAUCUCGGGGUACUGAGCAUAAUCAAACUGCGAAUGUCACGCCAACAUGCUCGGCAGUCAGACAGCGGGUGAUAAGGUCCGUUGUCAAGAGGGAAACAGCCCAGACCAUCAGCUAAGGUCCCAAAAUGUAUGCUAAGUGGAAAAGGAUGUGGAGAUGUACAGACAACUAGGAGGUUGGCUCAGAAGCAGCCAUCCUUUAAAGAGUGCGUAACAGCUCACUAGUCGAAUGACUCUGCGCCGAUAAUUUACCGGGGCUAAGCAUACUACCGAAGCUAUGGAUCCCAAGGGAUGGUAGGGGAGCGUUCCAUGAACGGAGAAGUACGACCGAAAGGACGUGUGGAGAUCAUGGAAGAGAGAAUGCCGGUGUGAGUAGCGGAACGUGGGUGAGAAUCCCACGCACCGAAAACCCAAGGUUUCCAGAGGAAGGUUCGUCCGCUCUGGGUAAGUCGGGACCUAAGGCGAGGCCGAAAGGCGUAGUCGAUGGACAACAGGUAGAGAUUCCUGUACCCGUAUAUAUGUGAAGGAAUGACGGAGAGAGGAAGCUGCAGCCAGCGGCUGGAAGAGCUGGUGCAAGCGAGAUAUCGGGAUGGCAGGCAAAUCCACCAUCCGAAACGAGAAGGCGUGAAGCGUACGGAAAGCUACGGCGAGUACGGAAGGCAGUGGAGGAACUUCCAAGAAAAGUUUCUAACGUUAAGUAUAUAUGGCCCGUACCGAAAAUGGACACACAUGGGUGAGGAGAGAAUCCUAAGGUGAGCGAGAGAACUAUAGCUAAGGAACUCUGCAAAAUGACUCCGUAACUUAGGGAGAAGGAGUGCUCAUAGAGAUAUGAGCCGCAGUGAAACGGCCCAAGCGACUGUUUACCAAAAACACAGCUCUCUGCUAAGCCGCAAGGCGAAGUAUAGGGGGUGACGCCUGCCCGGUGCUGGAAGGUUAAGGGGAGGGGUUAACGCAAGUGAAGCCCUGAACUGAAGCCCCAGUAAACGGCGGCCGUAACUAUAACGGUCCUAAGGUAGCGAAAUUCCUUGUCAGGUAAGUUCUGACCCGCACGAAAGGCGUAACGAUUUGGGCGCUGUCUCAGCUGUAGACUCGGUGAAGUCUUAGUACCUGUGAAGAUGCAGGUUACCCGCGACUAGACGGAAAGACCCCAUGGAGCUUCACUGCAGGUUGAUAUUGGGAUUUGAUGCAGCAUGUACAGGAUAGGUAGGAGGCAAAGAGAUGGAUACGCCAGUAUUCAAGGAGCCGCUGUUGGGAUACUACCCCUGUUGUAUUGGAUUUCUAACCGGACGACGUAGAGCCGUUGACGGGACAGUGUCAGUCGGGCAGUUUGACUGGGGCGGUCGCCUCCCAAAGAGUAACGGAGGCGCCCAAAGAUACCCUCAGCUUGGAUGGAAACCAAGCGCAGAGUGCAAAGGCAAAAGGGUGUUUGACUGCGAGACCUACAAGUCGAGCAGGGACGAAAGUCGGGCUUAGUGAUCCGGCGGUGCUGAAUGGAAAGGCCGUCGCUCAACGGAUAAAAGCUACCCUGGGGAUAACAGGCUGAUCUCCCCCAAGAGUUCACAUCGACGGGGAGGUUUGGCACCUCGAUGUCGGCUCAUCGCAUCCUGGAGCUGAAGUCGGUUCCAAGGGUUGGGCUGUUCGCCCAUUAAAGCGGUACGCGAGCUGGGUUCAGAACGUCGUGAGACAGUUCGGUCCCUAUCUGUCGUGGGCGCAGGAAAUUUGAGAAGAGCUGUCCUCAGUACGAGAGGACCGGGAUGGACGCAUCAAUGGUGGACCAGUUGUCACGCCAGUGGCAUAGCUGGGUAGCUAAAUGCGGAAGGGAUAAACGCUGAAGGCAUCUAAGUGUGAAACCCACUUCAAGAUGAGAUUUCCCAUUGCGCAAGCAAGUAAGACCCCUUAAAGACGAUAAGGUAGAUAGGUCAGGAGUGUAAGCAUGGUGACAUGUUAAGCGGACUGAUACUAAUAGGUCGAGGGCUUGACCG
Molecule: ribosomal RNA, 2078 nt
Filed under: human gut metagenome
Description: bacterial LSU rRNA
Rfam family: Bacterial large subunit ribosomal RNA
Source: RNAcentral